CCCGCUGAACUUAAGCAUAUCAAUAAGCGGAGGAAAAGAAACCAACAGGGAUUGCCCCAGUAACGGCGAGUGAAGCGGCAACAGCUCAAAUUUGAAAUCUGGCCCCCCGGCCCGAGUUGUAAUUUGCAGAGGAUGCUUUUGGUGAGGCACCUACCGAGUCCCCUGGAAUGGGGCGCCAUAGAGGGUGAGAGCCCCGUAUGGUAGGACGCCGAACCUCUGUAAAGCUCCUUCGACGAGUCGAGUAGUUUGGGAAUGCUGCUCUAAAUGGGAGGUAAAUUUCUUCUAAAGCUAAAUACCGGCCAGAGACCGAUAGCGCACAAGUAGAGUGAUCGAAAGAUGAAAAGCACUUUGAAAAGAGGGUUAAAAAGUACGUGAAAUUGUUGAAAGGGAAGCGCUUGUGACCAGACUUGCGCCGGGCGGAUCAUCCAGCGUUCUCGCUGGUGCACUCCGCCCGGUUCAGGCCAGCAUCGGUUUUCGCCGGGGGACAAAGGCUUCGGGAACGUGGCUCCUUUCGGGGAGUGUUAUAGCCCGUUGCGUAAUACCCCGGCGGGGACCGACGACCGCGCUUCGGCAAGGAUGCUGGCGUAAUGGUCAUCAGCGACCCGUCUUGGAACACGGACCGAGGAGUCAAGCAUUAGUGCGAG
RNAcentral lists this ribosomal RNA (644 nucleotides) under Segatella copri. RNAcentral describes it as "partial 23S ribosomal RNA". It matches the Rfam family "Eukaryotic large subunit ribosomal RNA", at positions 24 to 690 of the family's 3401-position model. Lineage: Bacteria; Pseudomonadati; Bacteroidota; Bacteroidia; Bacteroidales; Prevotellaceae. The record is from RNAcentral.